This 123-nucleotide ribosomal RNA is filed under the name Lonchocarpus emarginatus. RNAcentral describes it as "partial 18S ribosomal RNA". It matches the Rfam family "Eukaryotic small subunit ribosomal RNA", at positions 1713 to 1831 of the family's 1831-position model. The record is from RNAcentral. Lineage: Eukaryota; Viridiplantae; Streptophyta; Magnoliopsida; Fabales; Fabaceae.
GAUUGCGGCGACGUGGGCGGUCUGCUGCCCGCGACGUUGUGAGAAGUCCACUGAACCUUAUCAUUUAGAGGAAGGAGAAGUCGUAACAAGGUUUCCGUAGGUGAACCUGCGGAAGGAUCAUUG